CAUUAGAUAACUGAAAGCCAGUAUUGGUCUCUUAAAUCAUCUUAUGGUAAACUAGCAAUUACCUCUAAUGA
RNAcentral lists this transfer RNA (71 nucleotides) under Symbrenthia silana. Its description in RNAcentral is "tRNA-Lys". The record is from RNAcentral. Lineage: Eukaryota; Metazoa; Arthropoda; Insecta; Lepidoptera; Nymphalidae.